UUCUAGAGUACAAAGUAAUAAGUCUCACAACUAUUACUUCAUUAUAAACUCAAUUGAUUCUUGUUUAGAUUUCAAAGAUUGAUGAUAAAGCUAAUUGUUUAUGGGGAAUUAGCUCAGCUGGGAGAGCGCCUGCUUUGCACGCAGGAGGUCAGCGGUUCGAUCCCGCUAUUCUCCACCAUUUAUUAAGGGCCUAUAGCUCAGCUGGUUAGAGUGCACCCCUGAUAAGGGUGAGGUCACAAGUUCAAGUCUUGUUAGGCCCACCAUAGAAGUAUCAAUCUUAAAAAGAUAAAAACAAGAUUUGAAAUCAAGCUUUAAAAUCUAAAGCAAGUAUAUAUUUAUAAAUAUACUUUAUAUACCAUAUACUUCCUUUAGGUUUUAAACCUAAAUGUUCUUUAUAAUUAUCAUUGUUAAGAGUCACAAGCAAGUUUUAAUAAAAACAAUUUUACAGGACUUGUUAAAGGAUAAAACUCAAUUAUCUUUUCUUUGGUUUUAUUUAUAUCUUUUAACUAUCUUUAUUUUUUAUAAUAAAGAGAAUAUUAGAUCUAAAAUUUUAAAUUAAAGAUAAGUUUCAAACUCACGACUUAGUUUAGAUAUUUUUAGUAUUUAUAUUAAGUGUUUGAAUGCUUUCCGUCUUAAGAUAAUGAAGUCUUAUCGUAAAAACUUUAACAAGGAAGUGAUGCGUUUUAGAAUCAAUAAUAAAAGGUAAAAAAGGUA
Molecule: transfer RNA, 714 nt
Filed under: Campylobacter jejuni
Lineage: Bacteria; Pseudomonadati; Campylobacterota; Epsilonproteobacteria; Campylobacterales; Campylobacteraceae
Description: partial 16S-23S ribosomal RNA intergenic spacer
Rfam family: tRNA (bases 187-260)
Source: RNAcentral